AGUGAACGCUGGCGGUAGGCCUAACACAUGCAAGUCGAACGGCAGCACAGUAAGAGCUUGCUCUUACGGGUGGCGAGUGGCGGACGGGUGAGGAAUACAUCGGAAUCUACUUUUUCGUGGGGGAUAACGUAGGGAAACUUACGCUAAUACCGCAUACGACCUACGGGUGAAAGCAGGGGAUCUUCGGACCUUGCGCGAUUGAAUGAGCCGAUGUCGGAUUAGCUAGUUGGCGGGGUAAAGGCCCACCAAGGCGACGAUCCGUAGCUGGUCUGAGAGGAUGAAUCGCCCAACGGGAACCUGGACACGGUCCCGACUCCUACGGGAGGCAGGAGUGGGGAAAAUUGGAAAAUGGGGGCAAGCCUGAACCAGCCAUACCGCGGUGGGGAAGAAGGCCUUGGGGGUGUAAAGCCCCUUUGUUGGGAAAAAAAAGACGGAGGUUUAAAACCCCGCUUUUUGACGGGAACCAAAAAAAAAGACCCGGGUAACUUUGGG
RNAcentral lists this ribosomal RNA (492 nucleotides) under uncultured bacterium. Its description in RNAcentral is "partial 16S ribosomal RNA". It matches the Rfam family "Bacterial small subunit ribosomal RNA", at positions 29 to 507 of the family's 1533-position model. The record is from RNAcentral.